GCCUUUUGGAGGACUUACCUCUCACUGACAGUACUGGUGGUUUUGGUUUCCCUCUUUGGGC
Molecule: microRNA precursor, 61 nt
Organism: Bos indicus x Bos taurus (hybrid cattle)
Lineage: Eukaryota; Metazoa; Chordata; Mammalia; Artiodactyla; Bovidae
Source: Ensembl